This 253-nucleotide ribosomal RNA is filed under the name uncultured bacterium. Its description in RNAcentral is "partial 16S ribosomal RNA". It matches the Rfam family "Bacterial small subunit ribosomal RNA", at positions 524 to 776 of the family's 1533-position model. The record is from RNAcentral.
UACGUAGGGGGCAAGCGUUGUCCGGAAUUACUGGGCGUAAAGCGCGUGUAGGCUGCUCCGAAAGUCGGAUGUGAAAGCCCUGGGCUCAACCUAGGAAGUGCAUUCGAUACUGUGGAGCUGGAGUCCUGGAGAGGAAGGCGGAAUUCUGGGUGUAGAGGUGAAAUUCGUAGAUAUCGAGAGGAACACCGGUGGCGAAGGCGGCCUUCUGGACAGUGACUGACGCUGAGACGCGAAAGCGUGGGGAGCAAACAGG